UACGUAGGGGGCAAGCGUUGUCCGGAAUCAUUGGGCGUAAAGCGCGUGUAGGCGGCUCGGUAAGUCUGCUGUGAAAGUCCAGGGCUCAACCCUGGGAUGCCGGUGGAUACUGUCGAGCUCGAGUCCGGAAGAGGCGAGUGGAAUUCCUGGUGUAGCGGUGAAAUGCGCAGAUAUCAGGAGGAACACCUAUUGCGAAGGCAGCUCGCUGGGACGUAACUGACGCUGAGACGCGAAAGCGUGGGGAGCAAACAGG
This 253-nucleotide ribosomal RNA is filed under the name uncultured bacterium. RNAcentral describes it as "partial 16S ribosomal RNA". It matches the Rfam family "Bacterial small subunit ribosomal RNA", at positions 524 to 776 of the family's 1533-position model. The record is from RNAcentral.